CCUACGGGAGGCAGCAGUGGGGAAUCUUGCACAAUGGGGGAAACCCUGAUGCAGCGACGCCGCGUGAGUGAAGAAGUAUUUCGGUGCGUAAAGCUCUAUCAGCAGGGAAGAAAUAAAGUCCUUUGGACUUUGGACGGUACCUGGCUAAGAAGCCGCGGCUAACUACGUGCCAGCAGCCGCGGUAAUACGUAGGGGGCAAGCGUUAGCCGGAUUUACUGGGCGUAAAGGGGGCGUAGACGGCAGUGCAAGUCAGGAGUUAAAUCCUAGGGCUUAACUAUGGAAAGGCUUUGGAUACGAUACUGCUAGAGUAUCAGAGAGGAAUGCAGAAUUCCUGGUGUAGCGGUGAAAUGCGUAGAUAUUAGGAGGAAUACCGUUAGCGAAGGCGGCAAACUGGCUUGAAACUGACGCUGAGGUGCGAAAGCGUGGGGAGCAAACAGGAUUAGAUACCCUAGUAGUC
RNAcentral lists this ribosomal RNA (457 nucleotides) under uncultured bacterium. Its description in RNAcentral is "partial 16S ribosomal RNA". It matches the Rfam family "Bacterial small subunit ribosomal RNA", at positions 338 to 795 of the family's 1533-position model. The record is from RNAcentral.